Molecule: ribosomal RNA, 488 nt
Filed under: uncultured bacterium
Lineage: Bacteria
Description: partial 16S ribosomal RNA
Rfam family: Bacterial small subunit ribosomal RNA
Source: RNAcentral
GAUGAACGCUAGCGGCAGGCUUAACACAUGCAAGUCGAGGGGCAGCAUAAUGGAUAGCAAUAUCUAUGGUGGCGACCGGCGCACGGGUGCGUAACGCGUAUGCAACCUACCUUUAACAGGGGGAUAACACUGAGAAAUUGGUACUAAUACCCCAUAAUAUCAUAGAAGGCAUCUUUUAUGGUUGAAAAUUCCGAUGGUUAGAGAUGGGCAUGCGUUGUAUUAGCUAGUUGGUGGGGUAACGGCUCACCAAGGCGACGAUACAUAGGGGGACUGAGAGGUUAACCCCCCACACUGGUACUGAGACACGGACCAGACUCCUACGGGAGGCAGCAGUGAGGAAUAUUGGUCAAUGGACGCAAGUCUGAACCAGCCAUGCCGCGUGCAGGAUGACGGCUCUAUGAGUGGUAAACUGCUUUUGUACGAGGGUAAACGCAGAUACGUGUAUCUGUCUGAAAGUAUCGUACGAAUAAGGAUCGGCUAACUCCGUG